RNAcentral lists this ribosomal RNA (239 nucleotides) under uncultured Lachnospiraceae bacterium. Its description in RNAcentral is "partial 16S ribosomal RNA". It matches the Rfam family "Bacterial small subunit ribosomal RNA", at positions 1141 to 1382 of the family's 1533-position model. The record is from RNAcentral. Lineage: Bacteria; Bacillati; Bacillota; Clostridia; Lachnospirales; Lachnospiraceae.
UGGUGAGACUGCCGGGGACAACUCGGAGAAGUGGGGAUGACGUCAAAUCAUCAUGCCCUUAUGUCUUGGGCUACACACGUGCUACAAUGGCUGAAACAAAGGGAUGCAACAACGUAAGUUGAAGCGGAUCUCACAAAAACAGUCCCAGUUCGGAUUGUGGGCUGCAACCCGCCCACAUGAAGUCGGAGUUGCUAGUAAUCGCGGAUCAGCAUGCCGCGGUGAAUACGUUCCCGGGCCUU